This 740-nucleotide ribosomal RNA is filed under the name uncultured bacterium. RNAcentral's name for it is "bacterial SSU rRNA". It matches the Rfam family "Bacterial small subunit ribosomal RNA", at positions 62 to 787 of the family's 1533-position model. The record is from RNAcentral.
UCGCACGAGAACGUUCUGGCUUUGCCAGGACAAGUACAGUGGCGGACGGGUGCGUAUCGCGUAGAUAACCUGCCCUUAGGCGCGGGACAAUCACGGGAAACCGUGGCUAAUACCGCACGUCGUCUGGGCCCCGCAUGGGGACCAGAUGAAAGCUUGGGGUUACCCAGGCGCCUUGGGAUGGGUCUGCGUUGGAUUAGCUUGUUGGUGAGGCAACGGCUCACCAAGGCAACGAUCCAUAGCUGGUCUGAGAGGACGAUCAGCCACACUGGGACUGAGACACGGCCCAGACUCCUACGGGAGGCAGCAGUGGGGAAUCUUGCACAAUGGGGUCACCCCUGAUGCAGCCAUGCCGCGUGGAGGAAGACACCCCUAUGGGGCGUAACUCCUUUUCUGAAUGAAGAAACCCCUGUAGGUUCAGGGCGCGACGGUAGUUCAGGAAUAAGCACCGGCUAACUCCGUGCCAGCAGCCGCGGUAAUACGGAGGGUGCAAGCGUUGUCCGGAAUCACUGGGUGUAAAGGGUGUGCAGGCGGGGCAACAAGUCGGAUGUGAAACCCCAUGGCUCAACCAUGGAGGUGCAUUCGAAACUGUUGCUCUUGAGUCCCGGAGAGGCUGUCGGAAUUCGUGGUGUAGCGGUGAAAUGCGUAGAUAUCACGAGGAACACCAGAGGCGAAAGCGGGCAGCUGGACGGGUACUGACGCUCAGGCACGAAAGCGUGGGGAGCAAACAGGAUUAGAUACCC